Homo sapiens (human) is the source of this 5364-nucleotide long non-coding RNA. RefSeq lists it as uncharacterized. Lineage: Eukaryota; Metazoa; Chordata; Mammalia; Primates; Hominidae. The record is from RefSeq and is a predicted model, not a curated record. The transcript is spliced from 2 exons.
CGGCCUCCCAAAGUGCUGGGAUUACAGGUGUGAGCCACCAUGCCCAGUUGUUCUUUCUUCUUUAUUUGAAUAUGUGAGCUCAAUUAUAGUGGAAGUGAAUUGAGAGUAUUAUGGCAUAUAAAACUGGAACCAACGAGUCUCAAAUCACUUCAUAUCGUUUUCCUGGAAUGGUUUUUAGGGUAAGCACAAUAUUUAAUCAGUUGAUAUCAGUUCUGGUCCUUAUCACUUGUAAAUGAGUGUGAUUGUUCAGUUUAAUAACAAGUGCUCAUGAACCCCAUUACUAAAAAUAUGAGAUAUAGCUCCUAGAAUACAAUCGUACCCCAGUGCCACCUAGAGGAAAGAAUUUGCAUCGAGAGGCUGGGCAUGUCUGUUUCUGUACAUCCUGGCCACUGAGGUACCGCUUUUGCCUUUUGUAUUUCUUUUGUAAAAUGAGGCCAUCCACAAGACUAGUGUGUCAUAGAAAUAAUUACAUAAAAUUUCUUAUAACUGAAGUCACUAACUAGUAAUAAUUUUAAGGAAGGCAUGCUAAUACUUUUAAUUAAAAGACUGUAAUUUAGGCUAAAGAAAAACCUACUGACUAAAAGUGAACAUUACUUUUAAUUUACAACACAGAAAGCUGUUGAAAAAUAAAAAUAACUGGCCAUCUUAGGGCUCAAGCCAGCUCUGAUGCCAGAAUUUUUCCUAUUCUAUUCUUGAGAUAUUGGCUGAAAGCUACCUGCUGUGUCUUCCUAAUCUUAGAAUUCCCCUUCCUGGUAAGUGUGUUGUCUGUCUUAUUAUACUUACUAUGAGAAACGGACAUUUGCGCCAUUUAGAGAGACUGACAAUAAGAAUAAUAUCAUUUACUGAGCACUGGCUUUGAACCAGGAGAAUGCACACAAAGUGAUAAUAACUCUCAGCACAGCAGCUGGGAUUGAAAUCCUGAAGGUCUUGCCUCCUAGUCCAUUUUUUUUUUAAGACGGAAUCUUGCUGUGUUACCAGGCUGCAGUGCAGUGGUGUGGUUUUGGCUCACUGCAACCUCCACCUCCUGGGUUCAAGUGAUUCUUCUGCCUCAGCCUCCCAAGUAGCUGGGAUUACAGGCACGUGCCACCAUGCCUGGCUAAUUUUUGUAUUUUUAGUAGAGAUGGGGUUUCACCAUGUUGGACAGGCUGGUCUUGAACUCCUGACCUUGUGAUUUGCCUGCCUUGGCCUCCCAAAGUGCUGGGAUUACAGGUGUGAGCCACCGCGCCUGGCCCUAGUCCAUUAUUUUUUAUAUCAGCGUUUUUUAAUUUAUAAAAAACAGAAAGUUAAGAAGUUACUUAGGUCAAGCACGCAGGCAGGAGGUAGGGAUACAAAGAUGACUGCUAAAAUGUGUUUGCCUUUACGAGGUUGUUCUCUAGCUGGGGGCUAACAUCCCCAAUCCUGAUGUGAUGUGAUGUGAUCAGAGGGAGGACGGGAGAAUUGUGCUGAGUGCUGUGGAAAUGUAAGAGAGGAAGGGAUUAAUUUUAGGGUGGAGAAGGAUGGAAAGAAAUUUGGUGACAGCUUCACAGAGGAGCAGACAUUUGCACUGGUCCUCGAGCGAUGACUGCAUUCAUGAUAUGGAAAAAGUGACUUCUGGAUAAACUUAGUGGAUGCACCUCUCCUUUCUCUGGAAUUCCCAUUCAAACAACCACAUAGCGAUUUUGAAAAGCUUUAAAUUGCAAAUGAGAAAGCAGGAGUAGAGAGGAAGCUGAGAUAUUCUGGAAGCCAGAAAACCUCUGGAUGAGUGCAAAGUGACCUAGCAGAGCAGAUAUAGCAGCGGGGAAGGAAGCCCAGGCGAAAGCUGCCCAUGCAGCAGGGCCUGGAGAGGCUCAGGACCCAGAGACCCAGGAUCCUCUGAAGACGCAGGUGGGGCUGAAGCUGGGGGACUGGUUGAAAGUCUGCAGAAGUAAGUGGGUCCCUUGGUCCAGUGUGGUCAGAUAGUUAUCCCUUCCUUCUCCUGGCAGAAGACUGUGGUUCUCUGUGAAGAGACUGGACCACAAGAACUCUGGACUCAGGGACGCCAGACACAGUUAAGGUGAGAGAUCUGCUAAUGGUGAGAUCCCCUAAACCCUUCCCCACUCAUUGUUUAGGACGAUGUCAACCAGACUCCUAGGUCACCAGCGGGAUACUGGAGGAGUUCUCUCUGGGGAGACUGAGCAGCCCAAGUGAAAGGCCUACAGAUACUGACAACAGUGUAUGUCCAGUAAAACGAAUGCAGAAGAGGGCAGCUGCUGAUGGCUGUGGGUGAGGUUGGGGGACAGAAGCCAAUGCCUUCAGUCUUUUGUGGAGUCCCCACCAAAGAGGUGCCUCCUGGGAUGGAAUCUGAACCUUGACCCCACUGGAGCCUGGGUAUGUUGGCAAACUGACGAUGGGAGAUGCGAGGCCAGCAUGUUUGCCUGAGUCUGGGAGAAUGCUCACCUUCCGCAGGAGGGGAAGCAGGAUUGCGCGUCUCCAACACUGGAGGGGAGAGCUGCUUCCGGGCAUCAACCAAUGUGCAGGGGAGGAUUGGGCGUUUUAUGGCACGUGUGAGAGACCCCGAGGGGACCCCAGGAAAUAUGAAGCCUGGGAGUGAGGGGGAGGUCUGUGUGGGUGGGCAAGGCUGGGGGCCGGUUGAGGGGGUUGGUGGGAUUUGGAGGUGCGGAGUGGAGGUGGGUCUCGUGUUGGGAAGUGUAGGCCAGCCCCAGUGCGGCUUGGAAUUCUUACAAUCGAUGUGAUCUUGUUGGCACCCAUAGACGGGCGAAGCUUUGAGGAGCCUCUAGUUGUACCCACACUCUAGAUAAGCCUGCCCACUGCACGCCUUGUCAGUGUGUCUAGAUGCGCUUCUCAGUCCUGCCAGGUGACUGGCCCUGCCUCUUGUGCUGCUGCAGACACAAGCGCGCGGCUUCUGAUUCGAUGGGCUUUCCAUCAGUUUCCACAAUACCCGCCAAGUCUGAUUUCCUUCCUAGCUUUAUAAAGAUUCCUUCACGCCCUCCCCCCAUCCCAACUCCUAUACUCCGCCCAGGCAACUGCCCUGGCCUUUUUGGGCUGUGAGGGGGCAUGCCACUCAACAUUGCACACGUGCUAUUUCAGUCACAUGCCACAGGCAGUUCUCCUUUAUCAGAGGGAGCCAGCCCCUAACAACAUUGUCAAGCAUAGAUCCUCGUGGACAAAACUUUGCAGAUGACAUAUUUACUAAAGGUUAGCCCUGCUUAUCUUUUUUUUUUUUUUUUUUUUUUUUGAGACAGAAUCUUGCUCUGUCACCCAGGCUGGAGUGCAAUGGCAGGAUCUCGGCUCACUGCAACCUCCGCCUCCUGGGUUUAAGCAAUUUUCCUGCCUCAGCCUCCCGAAUAGCUGGGACUACAGAUGCGUACCACCACGCCUGGCUAAUUUUUGUAUUUUUAGUAGAGAUAAGGGUCCGCCAUGUUGGCCAGGCUGGUCUUGAACUCCUGACCUCGUGAUCCACCAGCCUUGGUCUCCCAAAGUGCAGGGAUUACAGAUGUGAGCCACCACGCCUGGCCAACUCUGCUUAUCUUUAAAUAUGAUUGGAUAAAUCAAAGUCAGUUUGCCAAAAUGUCUUAAGUUUUCAAUUUCAGUCAAUGCAGUAAAUGUUUUGGGGAGUCUGCAGUGUAUCGGGCACUGGCUCAAGCACUAUCAUUUUACCAAUGCCCUUUGGACACUAGUUAUUCUUGCAAAAGGUAUAGAGUUCUUUUUAAGUAUUUACCAUUACUGAUACUUCCAUAAUAUAAUGUCUUUUUUCAUUAUAUCUUAAUUUUUUUGCUGGUAUCUGGGAAAAUUGUUUAAAUGUUUUUCUUACCACUUCAUUGAAAAAUUUUGUUAAUUCUAACUUUAAAAUCUCAAUUUCUGCCCUUUGUGGCAUAAUACUGUCAUUUGCGAAUUUUUCUCUUUAUUUGCAAUAUCUAUAUCUCUGAAUAAAAUUUCUAAGCACUUUGUAACUCAGUGGAGACUUUUAAUUCAAAUUAUAAAAAGUGCCAAAAAUUUACUUUAUUUCCAUUAGAACUAAUAUGAUACAUUUGGGUAUGUGGAUGCAUAAUAUGUAAUGAUGAAGUGUGUUCUUUGUAGAUGGCUGCAGCAGUUUAACAGAAUUCAAUUUUAUUUCUUACCAGAGAAGCAUAUAUUCCAGCAUGUAAGUUAUUUUUGGAAGUUAUAUUUAUAGAACAACUGUACCAGAAAGGGGGUUUAAUAAAUAUUUCACUGAAAGUUUGAUUAAGUGUCAUAUAUGAACUUUUGUAGUCUUUGCCUUUUAAUCCUCAAGUUGCAUAUUUGUUAAAUAUGUUGGAUUCUUGGGCAUCUGGUCCAUGUAACAGGCUGGUUCCUGGGAGAAGAGUGGGACAAGGACUGGAUCCUGGAAAAGAAAAUAGGAGUCUGUGGUGUAGGUCUUUUUGGGAAGAGAUGGCGGUUCAUAGACAUGAUAUCCACCGGAGCUGGGGCCCUGGCCUCAGACAUAGACAACAGGAUGAAAAGUCUAUGAUGAAUACUUUGAACAUGAGGACUUGUUUGUAACACAAGACAUUUUUAGAUCUCUUUAUAGGUGUGCCAGUUACCUAUUUAUGGCCUCUCAGCUCUAACCCCACCCUUCAUUGCCUGCUCUAUGAUAAUGGAGCUGGGCCUUGUGAGUAUCUCCCCUUUGCAGCUGGCAUAUUGUUAAACUCUGUUAGCAGAGGGCACUAGAUGGACAGUAAAGAAGAAUGGGCAUCACUUCCAGGUUCCAGUGUUCUGGUUUUGUCUGUUUGUUUCUUUUAAAUCCUACUGUGGCAGCCUGUGGCAUGAAUGGAGGACAUCCAGUGGAGCCCACCUUCAUUGAGUUUCAGGGGCCUCCGCACAGGCAGAUUCUCAGUGAGUCUAGCAGGCACCUUAGUGGUCAGCUUCUCAGCCUUGAGCCUCCUUCAUCCUAGCAGGGUGUUUCCUGUGCCAGUCCCAGCUGCAGCUCCUUGCCCAUAGCUUGGACCACCAGCAGCCAAUGGGAGGCUUCUAGCCUGCCAGUCCCAGCUCAUGUUACUCUGUCUGCCACCCUCUGCCUAGCUCUGGUGGACUGGCUCUGGCUCAGGAAAACUCAGUGAGUUUCUCCACCAUCCUGUGGGCUGCAAGCACACCUCUUCCAGUGAGAUCUGAAUCCCAGCCUUGGAGAGGUGGGUCCUCACCUUUUUAGCUUUGAUUUUUUCUUUGAGGACUCUCCUUCAUCCCUUGGGGAUUCUUUAAAGUUCUCCUUACCCCUAUGACUGACAAAAAUUCAUAUAUGACACUCAAUCAAAUUUUCAGUGAAAUAUUUAUUAAACCCCAUCUUUGUCCUUAUGUUCUAUUUAUCUCUAGGAUGUAGUUAAUCCUCUGUUAUAAUUAGCAUUUCUUUAUAUUAAAGUUUCCCUGUUAAAA